RNAcentral lists this ribosomal RNA (301 nucleotides) under uncultured bacterium. RNAcentral describes it as "partial 16S ribosomal RNA". It matches the Rfam family "Bacterial small subunit ribosomal RNA", at positions 509 to 807 of the family's 1533-position model. The record is from RNAcentral.
CAGCCGCCGCGGUAAUACGAAGGGGGCUAGCGUUGCUCGGAAUGACUGGGCGUAAAGGGCUCGCAGGCGGUUUCUUAAGUCUGAUGUGAAAGCCCACGGCUCAACCGUGGAGGGUCAUUGGAAACUGGAAAACUUGAGUGCAGAAGAGGAAAGUGGAAUUCCAUGUGUAGCGGUGAAAUGUGCAGAGAUAUGGAGGAACACCAGUGGCGAAGGCGACUUUCUGGUCUGUAACUGACGCUGAUGUGCGAAAGCGUGGGGAUCAAACAGGAUUAGAUACCCCUGUAGUCCCUGUCUCUUAUAC